This 553-nucleotide ribosomal RNA is filed under the name uncultured bacterium. RNAcentral describes it as "partial 16S ribosomal RNA". It matches the Rfam family "Bacterial small subunit ribosomal RNA", at positions 355 to 900 of the family's 1533-position model. The record is from RNAcentral.
UAGGGAAUCUUCCACAAUGGACGCAAGUCUGAUGGAGCAACGCCGCGUGAGUGAAGAAGGUUUUCGGACCGUAAAGCUCUGUUGUUGGUGAAGAAGGAUAGAGGUAGUAACUGGCCUUUAUUUGACGGUAAUCAACCAGAAAGUCACGGCUAACUACGUGCCAGCAGCCGCGGUAAUACGUAGGUGGCAAGCGUUGUCCGAUUUAUUGGGCGUAAAGCGAGCGCAGGCGGAAGAAUAAGUCUGAUGUGAAAGCCCUCGGCUUAACCGAGGAAUUGCAUCGGAAACUGUUUUCUUGAGUGCAGAAGAGGAGAGUAGAACUCCAUGUGUAGCGGUGGAAUGCGUAGAUAUAUGGAAGAACACCAGUGGCGAAGGCGGCUCUCUGGUCUGCAACUGACGCUGAGGCUCGAAAGCAUGGGUAGCGAACAGGAUUAGAUACCCUGGUAGUCCAUGCCGUAAACGAUGAGUGCUAAGUGUUGGGAGGUUUCCGCCUCUCAGUGCUGCAGCUAACGCAUUAAGCACUCCGCCUGGGGGAGUACGACCGCAAGGUUGAAAC